RNAcentral lists this transfer RNA (72 nucleotides) under Mikrogeophagus ramirezi. RNAcentral's name for it is "tRNA-Lys". It matches the Rfam family "tRNA". Rfam says of the family: Transfer RNA (tRNA) molecules are approximately 80 nucleotides in length. Lineage: Eukaryota; Metazoa; Chordata; Actinopteri; Cichliformes; Cichlidae. The record is from RNAcentral.
CACUAAGAAGCUAAACAGGAACAGCGUUAGCCCUUUAAGCUAAAGAUGGUGACUACCAACCACCCUUAGUGA